GUCCCUCAAUUUUUUUCUCCUCUCAUUUUCACACUCUCUCAUCCUCUCACUAUCAAACACCGACCAUCCUAAUUUCUCACUGUUGAUCUCCGCCAAACUUAAAGCUAAGAUCGUUGUCUAGUCCUAUGGACUAUUAAUGAUUGGAGUUGCUUCUUUUUGUCGUCGGAAAAGCGAGCGUCAUAGAGAGAUAAAUAGACGCACUAUUGUCAUUCUCUCUCUAACCAAACCAUCGAUGAUUGUGAAACCAGCACUACUAGUCGACUCCCCACUCUCACUAAUGACUCAGUUUAUGCUUGACCAACUUUUUGAUCUUCAAAACAAGGUAUUGGCAAAUGGAGAAAAUAUGAAGAUAAUUCAAUUCAAUUUAUGAAGAUAAUGCAGUUUAAUUUAUGCUGCAUGGCGAGAUUCUUUGAGGUUUAUUUUUCAGCUAGAGAACUUAAUAAUCUCCUUACUGAACAAACUUCAUAUUGAUAUUUUGACAGUUAUUGAAUUAUUUUCCAAUGGGUCAUACUCAAUAAUAAUAACAUUGCAUUCUUGAGCACUCAUCAA
Molecule: long non-coding RNA, 549 nt
Organism: Ricinus communis (castor bean)
Lineage: Eukaryota; Viridiplantae; Streptophyta; Magnoliopsida; Malpighiales; Euphorbiaceae
Exons: 2
Source: RefSeq, a predicted model, not a curated record